GACGAACCGCGCGACCGUUGUUCGGAAUCACUGGGCUUAAAGGGCGCGUAGGCGGGCUGCCGCGUCCGGGGUGAAAUCCCACGGCUCAACCGUGGAACGGCCUCGGAUACGGGCGGCCUCGAGGGGGGUAGGGGCAUCUGGAACUGUGAGUGGAGCGGUGAAAUGCGUUGAUAUUCACAGGAACUCCGGUGGCGAAGGCGAGGUGCUGGACCCCAUCUGACGCUGAGGCGCGAAAGCCAGGGGAGCAAACGGG
RNAcentral lists this ribosomal RNA (253 nucleotides) under uncultured bacterium. RNAcentral describes it as "partial 16S ribosomal RNA". It matches the Rfam family "Bacterial small subunit ribosomal RNA", at positions 524 to 776 of the family's 1533-position model. The record is from RNAcentral.